Molecule: ribosomal RNA, 774 nt
Filed under: uncultured Neocallimastigales
Lineage: Eukaryota; Fungi; Neocallimastigomycota; Neocallimastigomycetes; Neocallimastigales
Description: partial large subunit ribosomal RNA
Rfam family: Eukaryotic large subunit ribosomal RNA
Source: RNAcentral
UAUGUGAUCGUCUCUCGCAUAUCAAUAAGCGGAGGAAAAGAAACUAACAAGGAUUCCCCUAGUAACGGCGAGUGAAGCAGGAAGAGCUCAAAUUUGAAAUCUUAAAGGGUUUCCCUUUACGAAUUGUAGUUUAAAGAAGUGUUUUCUGUUGAGGUUUUGGUAAAAGUUCUUUGGAAUAGGACAUCAUAGAGGGUGAGAAUCCCGUAUUUGACCUUUACUUUCAACUUUGUGAUACACUUUCAAAGAGUCGGAUUGUUUGGGAAUGCGGUCCAAAAUGGGUGGUAAAUUUCAUCUAAAGCUAAAUAUUGGCGAGAGACCGAUAGCGAACAAGUACCGUGAGGGAAAGAUGAAAAGAACUUUGAAAAGAGAGUUAAACAGUACGUGAAAUUGUCAAAAGGGAAGCGUUUGACACCAGUGUUGUUUUUCUGAAAAUCAAUUAAAGAACUGUUUAUGCUAAGUUGUUUAGACUUUAUCAGCUAACUGUUUAGUUUUGAGCUUUUCUUUAAUGCACUUUUCAGUUAACAAGUCAACAUCAAUUUCUUUUGCUGUAAAAAAGCUUGAGGAAGGUGGCUUGAGAUUCGUCUUAAGUGUUUAUAGCCUCUUGCCUAUGCAGUCGGAGAGAUUGAGGUCUGCAGCGUAGAUCCUUCGGGGCUAAAUGCAUUUGUGCUAAGUUAUAGCAUUUUAUAGACAACUUGUUGACUAUGAUUUGUCUUGUAGCUUACUCGCUUAUGUUAUUUUACCUACGCUUAGGAUGUUGAUAUGCAUGACUGAUAU